UUACGGCCAUAUCACGUUGAAACAUCGGUCCCCGUACGAUCAAAGAAGUUAAACAACGUUGAGCCUGGUCAGUAACUAGAUGGGUAACAACUUAGGAAUACCUGGUGCUGUAAG
Molecule: non-coding RNA, 114 nt
Organism: Acanthosepion pharaonis
Lineage: Eukaryota; Metazoa; Mollusca; Cephalopoda; Sepiida; Sepiidae
Source: the annotation of a GenBank genome assembly